GCGCCAGCCUCGCCUUCCUUUCUCCCGCUGCAGCCGGCUCCGCACAGAGGCGACCCGGCGGGCCAGGGAAUCAGCCGCACCACCAUGACCGAGACCACCAAGACCCACGUCAUCCUGCUGGCCUGCGGCAGCUUCAACCCCAUCACCAAAGGGCACAUUCAGAUGUUCGAGAGAGCCAGGGACUACCUGCACAAAACUGGAAGGUUUAUCGUGAUUGGUGGCAUCGUGUCUCCAGUUCAUGACUCCUAUGGAAAGCAGGGUCUCGUGUCCAGCAGGCAUCGACUCAUCAUGUGUCAGCUGGCCGUCCAGAAUUCCGACUGGAUCAGGGUGGACCCAUGGGAGUGCUACCAGGACACCUGGCAGACGACCUGUAGCGUGCUAGAACACCACCGGGACCUCAUGAAACGGGUGACAGGCUGCAUCCUCUCCAACGUCAACACACCUUCCAUGACACCAGUGAUUGGACAGCCCCAGAAUGAAACCCCCCAACCCAUCUACCAGAACAACAACAACGUGCCCACCACCAAGCCCACAGCAGCCAAGAUACUGGGGAAGGUGGGGGAGAGUCUCAGCCGGAUCUGCUGUGUGCGCCCGCCCGUGGAGCGAUUCACCUUCGUGGAUGAGAAUGCCAACCUGGGCACAGUGAUGCGAUACGAGGAGAUCGAACUUCGGAUCCUGCUGCUGUGUGGCAGUGACCUGCUAGAGUCCUUCUGCAUCCCAGGGCUCUGGAAUGAGGCAGAUAUGGAAGUGAUUGUAGGGGACUUCGGGAUCGUGGUGGUGCCCCGGGACGCGGCUGACACAGACCGAAUCAUGAACCAUUCCUCAAUACUCCGCAAAUACAAAAACAACAUCAUGGUGGUGAAGGAUGACAUCAACCAUCCCAUGUCUGUGGUCAGCUCAACCAAGAGCAGGACAAGCCUGGAUGCCUCUGAGAGUCGAUUCUGGAGGAGCAUGUGAAUUUUUGCCAGUAACUCCUUGGACCUGACUCCCCUGAGGCUGUGAUCUGACUCCCAGGCCAGGGCCAGAUCAAAGCUGCAGAAACCAAAGCUGGCCCUGCAGCAUGGGGAUGGCCACGUGGUGGACUACCUGUCACAGCCUGUCAUCGACUACAUCCUCAAAAGUCAGCUCUACAUCAACGCGUCAGGCUAACUGCCAUACCUCCAGGCUCCACGCUCCCUUCAUCCUCCAACAACACACUGGCCCCUCCAGUCUUUGUCAGCGCCCUCGUUUCUCUCCUGCCUCGCUGUCUCUCCACUUCAUCAUCUCAACUGUUCUCCCUCUCUUCUCACUGACUCGAAACCCCCCUGGGUGUGGGGGGUACCUGCAGAGAACCAUGGCACACCCCCUCUUCUGCAAUUGUCUCUGAACAAAUUUUCCUCUACGGCUCCGGGUCAAGGGGUGGGUGAGCGUCAGGGUGGCAGUCGGAGGAAGUGCAGUCCUUGGAGCUGUGCCGGUGUCCAUCUCCCAGCAUGCUCUAGAGAGCAGCUCUGGUGCCCAUCCUCCCAGCAUGCUCUGGGGAGGCUGCUCUGGCUCUCGCCUUCCCAGCAUGCCCUUUACCACAAAGGGCUACUUUUCUUUGUUUCUUGUUAUCUCUCUCUCUCCUUCUCUCUCUCUCUUUCUCUCUCUCCAUUUUUAAUUAUUUUUAGUCUUUGGUAAUGAUGUUCACUCAUAGUAUAUGGAUGAUAUCAGUGUCCAUAGUUUUUGGUGUGUGUAGUCUUGCCGAUGUGUGUGAUGUUACUUCCCUUGGAUGGGCAACUGGAGCCAGUCUCAACCCUCCUGGGUGGGGGCCACCCUCAGGAAAGAAGGCCGAGCCUGCUCCACACUGCCCAAAGCAGCAGCAGUCUAGGGUCAAGAGUGGGACUGAAAUUCUGAAACCUUGGAAGCAAGGGGCUUCUUAGAAGAAUGUGAGUCCAUUUUUUUUUUUUUUUUUUUAGUCUCAGAAGAAUGCCCUGGACAGGUAAGAAAACAGAUGAUCCAGUCACAUUUCCUGGAGGCAUCUGCAUUUACUGGACUGUAGCUAAUGGUGGGGGGACAGAGCAGGGUUCUCUACGCUGUUGAGUCUCACCUGAGGAUAAUCACAUACUCAAGGCCAAAUAUGAAUCAUGCAGUUAUUUCUUAAAUAAAACACACCAAGAAUUCACUCAGUCCUUGAGAUCUUGCUCACUGGAACCACUGGUUGCUCUUUGGCCAGGCAGGUAUCUGUCAUGAUCUAGUCGGCUGACGCGGGAGGAAGCAGUGUGGUAGUCUGGUGGGAAGAGCUGACUCUCAGCCCCUCUGGCCAAGUAGCACAGGCAGUGUCUGAUGUCACUUCCUUCUUGGGGAGCAGUGUGUGGCCUUGUGUUUGGGCCUGGUCACCUCUUCUGCUAAAAGCCCUCGCCUGCAGAAAGUUGUCCAGCAGGACAGUCACAGAACAGAGAUCUUGUGGUGGGGUGCCUAGAGCAACUCCUCUCUCCUCCCUUUCCUGCCUAAAUUCUCACUUGUCUUUGCUGCCUCCAAUGGUUUUGCUGGGCUCUGUUCCCUGGUGGAGGCUGUGCCUUGCCAGGAGCUAGGAGGGCAUUAAUCCUUCUCUCGUGCACCAUGUUUCUCAUCUGCAUGCAGUUCUCGGGUUUCUGGUUGUCUCAGGAAUGGUCCCCCAGCAGCAGGGUACUUUUACCAAAAUCUGGUGCAAGCUGUGGCCCAGGAGGGGCCAGCCAUGAGGUCUGGCCCAAACAGUCACAUUCUUCAACUCACACUUUACAUCUGUGGCUUUGUUCACUAACCUCCCAGAAAAGGAACUUACUCAACAGAAAAGUGAGGAAGAAAGGUAGUGAGUGUGCAGGGGGUGGAGGGGCAUCCUUUAUCUUGGAUUACGGAAGUGAUCUCCAGAGGAGGGAAGGAAGAUCCUAUUUGGGCGUGCUCAGUGCUUAACUAAGGAUCACAGGAUCAUCUAUUGAAUUGGUCCAACCAGCAAAAUACCUACCUGGAUAGUGCAUUGGAUUACCAUGUGCAGGACCCAGGCUCAAACCUGGCCCCCACAGCACUAAAGGAAGUUUUGGUGCCAUAAUAUCUCCCCCCCCCCCCCGUCUCUCUGCCUCUUUAUCUUAUUCUUUCUGUCUGGAAAAUUCAGCCCAGUGUGGUAAAGCCCUAGAGAUGGAGAGAGAUUAGUUAAUCCACUGUUCUCCUUUAAAGGAGGAGAGUGCAGAAAUUCACGGGAUUAAAUAAGUAAGUGGCAGGUCCAAGGUCACACCACAAGUUUAGAGGCUAGACAGAGGGUGCUGAUUCUCUGAUUCUCUGUAGGUGUCCACCCCACCUGGUCCUUCCUCCAGUUCCCCAAGAUGAUUUGGGGCUUCUACUCUUUUUUAUUUCUACCUGACAUCUUUCUUUUAAAUGAAGCCCCACACAUGGUUAUCUUGUGUGCUGGUUCUGUAUAGGGGGAAAGAGGGGAGGGAAGGGGGCUAGAGCUAGGUUUCCCUUGAAAACUAAGAGAUCUCAGCAGUUUGCAGGAACCCCCCAGAAAGUGACCCUCUGAAUCCGAGAAAGAGUUGCUUUGUGGAAGAAGCAAGACCCAGAGGGUGCUCCAGAUGACAUUAUUGCUGGAGAGGGCCAGACAGACAGAGGAGCCUUUGUCUGGCUGAGCUAUGCAGUCACAAGCCAGGAACUGAACAAAGGAAAAUGGGACUUCCUGGGGGAAGACAGUGUUUCCAAGGAUGUGAAGUUUACAGCUAGAGAGUUUGAGGAUUUACACAAGCAGAGCUAAGGAAGGCCAGUUAUCUUCUGUCUCUGGUCCACUCUUACUCAGCUGGACAGGAGUGGGAGUUGGGCCGGCCUGGUGCAGGGGGCGAGAGAUGGGGGAGAGGGAGAAGAGCGAGGGAGAAAAAGGGUGAUGGAAAAGGCAGAUUUCUAGGAGAGAAAUGAGACAGAUCUGCUCUUGGUAAAUCCCAGGGCUUGUGUGAGGAAAGCCAUCCUUUCACAGAGGGAGAGCGGAUCCCUUCUGAGCUGGAAGUGCCCCUUCUGCACCCUGCCCCACUCUUCACUCUGCUGACUGGGGAGGUCAGAGCCCCUUGCAUUCCAGGGCAGCACAGUGUGGCUGUGACGCAGGCAAGGCCAGCACCCAUAGAUGAUUCAGAACUUGAAGUGGCCUCAGGUGCCAGCCGAUGACAGCUAGGUCCAGACUUCCCCUCCUUUUCACAAAGGCCAGCUGGAGGCUGGUGCAGUUCAGAGUGUGAGUAAGGCCUGUCCUGAGCCUCACUGCCUGACUUCCCUCCUGUGCUUCUGGAAGUGACUGAGAUGAAUGAGAACAGGCAGGUGGGGGAGCUUUUGCGUCAGUGACUCUCUCCUAAGGUAUAGCCCUUUAGGGAGAGUCUAUGCUGCUAGUGGGUUCCUCCUUUGCCACCCCACCCCAACCCUAGACAGCCUCUGGGGCCUUUUGGCUUUCAUUUUCCUUGAAUGUACAUAGAAACAGGGGAGAACAGACUCUUACUGAAGUGCCUGAAACCCAGAGCUAGAGCUUCUAGAGACGCCAUUCCUGUCUCAGUUUGGCCAAGCUUCCCCCAACACUUACACUCCAGCUUCUGGGAAAGAACAAAGGAGCUUGAUGUUCUAGUGAAAUACAAAGUGAGAUUCGAUCAUCAACCUAUAGCAGAAUGGCAGAGAAUUACAGGGAGAAACGACUUGUAUUUUAACAGCUCAACAGUACUUUCCCCAAAAGACACACACACACACACACACACACACACACACACACACACGCUUUAGGGGACAUGUUGAUAUAUUUUAUUCAAGAGAGUCAUGCAAACAACAAUCAGCAGACUCUGAAAAAGCUCAGAAUCUCUCCUAAGGCUACCGCAGGAAGGAUGACGAGUGAGACGGAAGGAUGGAAACGGGCCCACUCUGUAGCUCAUCCACUAGGACGCCUGAAGACUAGACUGAUGAUGAAGCGGUUGUAUCAGACUUACGCAGUUAGCACCCAGUGAACUCAGCUCUUCACCUGGUUUCUUCGAUGUGCAAGCUGGAGUGUCCUAUUGGUUGGUCUGAUUAGUUAGAAAUGAGUUCCACUUUCCUCCUUUUUAGUUCAGGACCUAGAACCCAGCUUGAUCCCAGCAGUCUCAAGGACUGGCAUGGGGAGGGGGAAGCUUUUCUUUUCUUUUUUAAAUUUAAUCACUUUUUACUUACUGAAUCUGCUAUUUGGAGUGUAAGAUUUGCUUUCUGGAAAUCAUUAAUAGGAACUACAUUCAAGUUGCAACACCAUUUCACAGUGAAAUAUUUUGAGUACAGUUUUGUUGCUAGACUAGUCACUGGCUGAAAGUUUUAUCAGCAAAAUGUUUCAAUUAUGUUAAUAAAUAAAACAAUGCUACUAGA
RNA transcript from Erinaceus europaeus (western European hedgehog), 5337 nucleotides. It is a transcript of the gene named nicotinamide nucleotide adenylyltransferase 2, with no coding region annotated. Lineage: Eukaryota; Metazoa; Chordata; Mammalia; Eulipotyphla; Erinaceidae. The transcript has 12 exons. The record is from RefSeq and is a predicted model, not a curated record.